AACGAACGCUGGCGGCGUGCCUAACACAUGCAAGUCGUGCGAGAAAGUUCCUUCGGGAGCGAGUAAAGCGGCGCACGGGUGAGUAACACGUAGGUAACCUGCCCCCCAGUCUGGAACAACUAGAGGAAACUCUAGCUAAUGCCGGAUGAGACCACGAUCCCUUCGGGGGUUGCGGCCAAAGAUGGCCUCUACUUGUAAGCUAUCGCUGAGGGAUGGGCCUGCGGGCCAUUAGCUUGUUGGUGAGGUAACGGCUCACCAAGGCUGUGAUGGCUAGCUGGUCUGAGAGGAUGACCAGCCACACUGGGACUGAGGCACGGCCCAGACUCCUACGGGAGGCAGCAGUGGGGAAUAUUGCGCAAUGGGCGAAAGCCUGACGCAGCGACGCCGCGUGGGUGAUGAAGGCCU
RNAcentral lists this ribosomal RNA (405 nucleotides) under uncultured bacterium. RNAcentral describes it as "bacterial SSU rRNA". It matches the Rfam family "Bacterial small subunit ribosomal RNA", at positions 29 to 417 of the family's 1533-position model. The record is from RNAcentral.